This 513-nucleotide ribosomal RNA is filed under the name uncultured bacterium. RNAcentral's name for it is "partial 16S ribosomal RNA". It matches the Rfam family "Bacterial small subunit ribosomal RNA", at positions 28 to 523 of the family's 1533-position model. The record is from RNAcentral.
GACGAACGCUGGCGGCGUGCUUAACACAUGCAAGUCGAACGGUGAAAGCGGAGCUUGCUCCGCUGGAUCAGUGGCGAACGGGUGAGUAACGCGUGGGAAACCUGCCCCUCACUUCGGGAUAACUCCGGGAAACCGGGGCGAAUACCGGAUAACAUUUUGAACCGCAUGGUUCGAAAUUGAAAGGCGGCUGCGGCUGUCACUCAUGGAUGGACGCGCGUCGAAUUAGCUAGGUGGUGAAGUAACGGCUCACCAAGGCAACGAUGCGUAGCCGACCUGAGAGGGUGAUCGGCCACACUGGGACUGAGACACGGCCCAGACUCCUACGGGAGGCAGCAGUAGGGAAUCUUCCGCAAUGGACGAAAGUCUGACGGAGCAACGCCGCGUGAGUGAUGAAGGCUUUCGGGUCGUAAAACUCUGUUGUUAGGGAAGAACAAGUGCUAGUUGAAUAAGCUGGCACCUUGACGGUACCUAACCAGAAAGCCACGGCUAACUACGUGCCAGCAGCCGCGGUAA